RNAcentral lists this ribosomal RNA (485 nucleotides) under Oenococcus oeni. Its description in RNAcentral is "bacterial LSU rRNA". It matches the Rfam family "Bacterial large subunit ribosomal RNA", at positions 1771 to 2256 of the family's 2925-position model. Lineage: Bacteria; Bacillati; Bacillota; Bacilli; Lactobacillales; Lactobacillaceae. The record is from RNAcentral.
GGAUGACCGUAAGGACAUGUUGGAGCGUUAACUAGUGAGAAUUCCGGUAUGAGUAGCGAAAGUAAGAUGAAGUAUAGGGGCUGACGCCUGCCCAGUGCUGGAAGGUUAAAAGGAGGACUUAGCUUCGGCGAAGGUCUUAAUUGAAGCCCCAGUGAACGGCGGCCGUAACUAUAACGGUCCUAAGGUAGCGAAAUUCCUUGUCGGGUAAGUUCCGACCCGCAUGAAAGGCGUAAUGAUUUGGGCGCUGUCUCAACAAUAGACUCGGUGAAAUUUAAAUUCCAGUGAAGAUGCUGGGUACCCGCGACAGGACGGAAAGACCCCGUGGAGCUUUACUGUAGCUUGAUAUUGAAUGUUUGUGCUGCAUGUGCAGGAUAGGUAGGAGACUUUGAAGUCGGAACGCUAGUUUCGAUUGAGUCACCCUUGAGAUACUACCCCUGUUGUAUGAACGUUCUAACUCUGAUCAGUUAUCCUGAUCGAAGACAGUG